AUUUCAGACAUGGCGAACGCUCCUGCAAGAAAGAAGACAGCACGUCCGAAAGAAGAAAACACUCACAACCUUACAAAUCAUAUCAAUUUCUCCAAUUAAAUCAAACAUCUGAAAGCCCUCACAAAGCAACUACUUUUAUUUCAAGAACACAGGCACACAGCACUACACGCAAGCAUCUACAAGGCGUUCCUAGAUUUCCACAGAAAGAUGUAAAAACGCGGAUGGGAAUGAAGGUCAGCUCCCACUCGAGAAAAUUGGAUUCUCGAUGGACCAAACUAAUCAAGGUUUCUACCCCACCACGAGGCUACCCAAAUACUAAUAAAUGGGAAGGAAAAUGACUGGAUCUGAGACUGAGAGCAAAAUCG
This 365-nucleotide unclassified non-coding RNA is filed under the name Zea mays. RNAcentral's name for it is "misc RNA Zm00001eb308390". The record is from RNAcentral. Lineage: Eukaryota; Viridiplantae; Streptophyta; Magnoliopsida; Poales; Poaceae.